This is a non-coding RNA of Acanthosepion pharaonis, 99 nucleotides long. Lineage: Eukaryota; Metazoa; Mollusca; Cephalopoda; Sepiida; Sepiidae. The record is from the annotation of a GenBank genome assembly.
AUUGAAACACUGGUUCCUGUACAAUCACAGAAGUUAAGCAACAUCAAGCCUGGUCAGUAUUUAGAUGGCUGACCACUCGGGAUUACCAGGUGCUGUAAG